Non-coding RNA from Gadus chalcogrammus (walleye pollock), 537 nucleotides. NCBI's taxonomy places the organism in Eukaryota, Metazoa, Chordata, Actinopteri, Gadiformes, Gadidae. The record is from the annotation of a RefSeq genome assembly.
ACUUUUGGUGGAGGCACCAAACUCAUCGUUGACUUGGGAGUGGUGCAGCCCACGCUGAGCGUCCUCCCUCCCUCCAGAGUGGAGCUGGAGCAGGGCAGUGCUACACUAGUGUGUGUGGCCAGUGGGGGCUUCCCCUCAGACUGGAAGCUUGGCUGGAAGGUGGGGGGCAGCAGCAGGUCUGGGGGGGUGUCAGAUAGCCUGGUGGUCCUGGGGAAAGAUGGCCACUACAGCUGGAGCAGCACCUUGACCCUCCCUGCAGACCAGUGGAGGAAGGCGGGCUCAGUGAGCUGUGAGGCCAGUAAGAAUGGCCAGACGCAGCCUGUCACUCAAACCCUGAAUCCUGGAGAGUGUUCAGAGUAGAAAGGCUCCAGCAUGGAGGUACUGGAGGAUACAGAUCUCCUCUGACACGUCUGCUUUAUGUCUCUCUGUCUCAGGUGGCACCGCAGCUUUUGAUGAUUUACAUUAAUAUAACAUGUCUGAUUCAUUAACGUUAUGCCUUCAGAUAUUUACCCGUUGCUUGUGUUGGUCACAUGUUGA